Molecule: unclassified non-coding RNA, 240 nt
Filed under: uncultured Sporidiobolales
Lineage: Eukaryota; Fungi; Basidiomycota; Microbotryomycetes; Sporidiobolales
Also listed under: 1 other name
Description: sequence contains ITS2
Source: RNAcentral
ACUCUUCAACCCUCCAAUUCCUUGUUGAAUUGUGAGGUGUUUGGAUUCUGAGCGCUGCUGGCCUAACUUGAGAUUUUCGAAUCUCUAAUUUGGCGAAGCUCGUUCGUAAUAUAUUAGCAUCUCAAUUUCGAAAUUCGGAUUGACUCGGCGUAAUAGACUUAUUCGCUGAGGACACUAUACUCUAGUGGCCGAAAUUUGAGGUAGAAGCUUCUAACUCUCUAUUUGAAGUCAAAUUCUAAG